CAACCCCUCUAUACCCUUGGGUGUAGGUGUUGAGGGCCUGCGGAAACGCAGCCCUCCAAAGACAUUGGCGGACCUCCUAUGGUAUCCGAGCGCAGUAACAUAACUCUCGCUAGGGAAAACCGGGACGGACUCCUGCCGUAAAACCCCCAAUUUUCUAAGG
This 160-nucleotide unclassified non-coding RNA is filed under the name uncultured Sordariomycetes. RNAcentral's name for it is "sequence contains ITS2". Lineage: Eukaryota; Fungi; Ascomycota; Sordariomycetes. The record is from RNAcentral.